Molecule: transfer RNA, 73 nt
Filed under: Orcinus orca (killer whale)
Lineage: Eukaryota; Metazoa; Chordata; Mammalia; Artiodactyla; Delphinidae
Description: tRNA-Gln
Rfam family: tRNA
About the family: Transfer RNA (tRNA) molecules are approximately 80 nucleotides in length.
Source: RNAcentral
UAGACUAUGGUGUGGUGUGGUAGCACGGAGAAUUUUGAAUUCUUAGGGGUAGGUUCGAUUCCUACUAUUCUAG